RNAcentral lists this ribosomal RNA (20 nucleotides) under Buchwaldoboletus lignicola. RNAcentral describes it as "partial 28S ribosomal RNA". Lineage: Eukaryota; Fungi; Basidiomycota; Agaricomycetes; Boletales; Boletaceae. The record is from RNAcentral.
UGACCUCAAAUCAGGUAUGA